Molecule: ribosomal RNA, 253 nt
Filed under: uncultured bacterium
Lineage: Bacteria
Description: partial 16S ribosomal RNA
Rfam family: Bacterial small subunit ribosomal RNA
Source: RNAcentral
UACGUAGGGGGCAAGCGUUGUCCGGAAUCAUUGGGCGUAAAGAGCGCGUAGGCGGCCCGGUAAGUCCGCUGUGAAAGUCAAAGGCUUAACCUUUGAAUGUCAGCGGAUACUGCCGGGCUAGAGUCCGGAAGAGGCGAGUGGAAUUCCUGGUGUAGCGGUGGAAUGCGCAGAUAUCAGGAGGAACACCAACGGCGAAGGCAGCUCGCUGGGACGGUACUGACGCUGAGGCGCGAAAGCGUGGGGAGCAAACAGG